Transfer RNA from Loxodonta africana (African savanna elephant), 71 nucleotides. It matches the Rfam family "tRNA". Rfam says of the family: Transfer RNA (tRNA) molecules are approximately 80 nucleotides in length. Lineage: Eukaryota; Metazoa; Chordata; Mammalia; Proboscidea; Elephantidae. The record is from Rfam.
ACAGUAGUGGUUCAGUGGUAGAAUUUUUGCCUUCCACAUAGAAGACCUGGGUUCGAUUCCCUGCCAAUGCA